This 806-nucleotide ribosomal RNA is filed under the name Microbacterium sp. Its description in RNAcentral is "bacterial SSU rRNA". It matches the Rfam family "Bacterial small subunit ribosomal RNA", at positions 67 to 883 of the family's 1533-position model. The record is from RNAcentral. Lineage: Bacteria; Bacillati; Actinomycetota; Actinomycetes; Micrococcales; Microbacteriaceae.
CGGUGAAGCAGAGCUUGCUCUGUGGAUCAGUGGCGAACGGGUGAGUAACACGUGAGCAACCUGCCCCUGACUCUGGGAUAAGCGCUGGAAACGGCGUCUAAUACCGGAUAUGAGCUGCGAAGGCAUCUUCAGCAGUUGGAAAGAUUUUUCGGUCUGGGAUGGGCUCACGGCCUAUCAGCUUGUUGGUGAGGUAAUGGCUCACCAAGGCGUCGACGGGUAGCCGGCCUGAGAGGGUGACCGGCCACACUGGGACUGAGACACGGCCCAGACUCCUACGGGAGGCAGCAGUGGGGAAUAUUGCACAAUGGGCGAAAGCCUGAUGCAGCAACGCCGCGUGAGGGAUGACGGCCUUCGGGUUGUAAACCUCUUUUAGCAGGGAAGAAGCGAAAGUGACGGUACCUGCAGAAAAAGCGCCGGCUAACUACGUGCCAGCAGCCGCGGUAAUACGUAGGGCGCAAGCGUUAUCCGGAAUUAUUGGGCGUAAAGAGCUCGUAGGCGGUUUGUCGCGUCUGCUGUGAAAUCCCGAGGCUCAACCUCGGGCCUGCAGUGGGUACGGGCAGACUAGAGUGCGGUAGGGGAGAUUGGAAUUCCUGGUGUAGCGGUGGAAUGCGCAGAUAUCAGGAGGAACACCGAUGGCGAAGGCAGAUCUCUGGGCCGUAACUGACGCUGAGGAGCGAAAGGGUGGGGAGCAAACAGGCUUAGAUACCCUGGUAGUCCACCCCGUAAACGUUGGGAACUAGUUGUGGGGUCCAUUCCACGGAUUCCGUGACGCAGCUAACGCAUUAAGUUCCCCGCCUGGGGAGUAC